UGGCGUCCAUAUGUUUUUUUCAGUUACAUUUCUUUGUAAAAUUUUAAGUAUUUUAAUAAGAAAAACACACAUUUUAGAUUGUUCCAAAUUCACUCUCGUGUUUUUAUUGAUAGAAAAAAGAUCGCAAUUAUUCAAGAUUCUGUUAAAAAGACAUACUGGAUGAUUUUAUUCACUAAAACAUACACAUCAGGGAGGUAAACAAAAACUCACUAUUUUGAAUAUUUUAAUUUUAUUCUGAAAUUUUAUAAAAAUAUUAUUUAUUUUUCUUUUAUUUUCUUUUAUUUUUCUUUUAUUUUCCUCAAUUUAUUUUUGAUUUUCCUGAAUUUUUAUCUAAUUGUUUCAAGUUAUUUCAAAAGUUUAUAUAACUUUUAUUUGUUAUACUGUUUUAUUUAUUAAAAUAAUGAAACAAAAUGAAAAAAGUAACUGCCACGUCCCCUAUUUUACCGACAAAUGAAAAGUACCGGUUGUAACUUUUACUUGACGAUUAAGUAAGCUAAUUUAAAUGUUUAAUGUAUUACGAAAAUUAGUUUCAUUGUUUAGAAUGUUAGAUGUCAAACAUGAAGAUUUAAAAUGUAAAUUUUUACCAACUUUAUGAUUUCAAAUGUGGUUUUUCUCAACAUAUUUAACCAUUGUGCUUAUUUACUCAACAAAUAAGAUCCAACUAGAACCUCAACACUUAUAGGCCGAAGUAUAACAAUCAUGUAGGGGUUGACAUAAGUCACUAGAAUGGUUAUCAUAAGAAGAUAAAAUCCAAACAAGAUCCCAUCAAAAUACUUGCCGCUAACGAGAUCCCAUCAAUGUACUUCCCUAAAGUAUAUAGUUUAACUGGAAAAUUUCAUAUAAAAAAAAAGGCCAACAUAACAGCACAAUGCCUUAGAUAAAGUCUUUUACAUAGUAACUUCUUGGAAGCUUACUAGUAUAUCAUUUUAUAUUGUGAAUUUAUUUUAGUAAAGAGUUUUACUUUUCUUUUUUUUUUUGCUAAAUUUUUUUUUCUUUUCCAACUAUAAAAUAUUCUAAAUCAUAUUGCUCCAAAUUAAUUUGAUUUGUAUAUUUUUUAACAAUAUAUGCUAUAUCACAGUGACUAUUCGUUGGACGUCCUUUCAUGGAUGUAGAAUUGUUGGGUAGUAGUUAAUUUUUUUAUUUAUUUAAAAACUAAUGCACUUGUUUAACAAAGAACAUUACUGUAUAUAAUUGUCCUUAUAAAAUAUGUAUGAUCUAAUAUUACUUUAGGGAAGUAUUUUGAUGGGAUCUUGUUAGGAUUUGGUCUUGUUAUGAUAACUAUUCUAAUGAGUUAUGUUGAUGUUUACAUGAUUGUUCUACCUCUGCCUAGAAGUGUUAUGUUCUUGGACUUCAUUUGUUGAGUAAUAAGGCAUAAUGGUUAGAUAUGUUCAUAUGUUUUUUCUAAAGUAAUGAGUUUUUGUCCAUCUCCCUAGUGUGUAUGUUUUAGUGGAUAAAAUCACAUAAUAUGUUUUUGUCCAAGUGAUGUACAAAGAGGCACUUUGUCCAAUUGAUUACAUAAUAUCUACACCAACCUAGACUGUGAGUCUUGUAGCUCAUAUGUUAUUUUUCAUUUGUAUUUCAUUAUUUUGACAUCUCUAUGUUUUUUUUUUUUGUAGUCACAUCUCUCUGUGAUUACUUGCAGUAUUUUAAUAAGGAAAAAAACAGUGUCCCAUGUUCCAAGUUCA
Molecule: long non-coding RNA, 1685 nt
Filed under: Brassica rapa (field mustard)
Lineage: Eukaryota; Viridiplantae; Streptophyta; Magnoliopsida; Brassicales; Brassicaceae
Description: long non-coding RNA (BRAP_LNC005671)
Source: RNAcentral